RNAcentral lists this long non-coding RNA (553 nucleotides) under Malus domestica (apple). RNAcentral's name for it is "long non-coding RNA (MDOM_LNC007393)". Lineage: Eukaryota; Viridiplantae; Streptophyta; Magnoliopsida; Rosales; Rosaceae. The record is from RNAcentral.
GUCCCGUUACUUGAUCUUUGAAUGUUCUUUUUUUUGUGAUUUUUUGGCGUAUGCGAUCUCGAAGCAUAUACAAACAAGGUUGACGGUUGGAUCGUUGAAACUAGUUUUGUACAAUGUGUAUCCCAUCAAAACAAUAGAUUCAUUAACACUUAGAGUUUAUUUAUAUUUUCAUUAACUAUAACAUAAGAUUUGUGGUAUCCACUUGUGUAAAUAUUUUAAAUUGACGAUCGAAUUAGUUCAUUGUAUUCAUAUAGGAUCAAUGAGUGUAGCUGUAAAAAAUCAUCAAAAUCGGAGUUAAAAUAACCGUUAAAUCGUGAUGUUUCGUUUAUAACCGUCGAAAAGUUUUGUCCCGUUACUUGAUCUUUGAAUGUUUUUUUUUUGUGAUUUUUUGGCGUAUGCGAUCUCGAAGCAUAUACAAACAAGGUUGACGGUUGGAUCGUUGAAACUAGUUUUGUACAAUGUGUAUCCCAUCAAAACAAUAGAUUCAUUAACACUUAGAGUUUAUUUAUAUUUUCAUUAACUAUAACAUAAGAUUUGUGGUAUCCACUUGUGU